This 1018-nucleotide ribosomal RNA is filed under the name uncultured bacterium. RNAcentral describes it as "bacterial SSU rRNA". It matches the Rfam family "Bacterial small subunit ribosomal RNA", at positions 355 to 1375 of the family's 1533-position model. The record is from RNAcentral.
UGAGGAAUAUUGGUCAAUGGGCGAGAGCCUGAACCAGCCAAGUAGCGUGAAGGACGACGGCCCUACGGGUUGUAAAUUUCUUUUAUAAGGGAAUAAAGUUCGCCACGUGUGGUGUUUUGUAUGUACCUUAUGAAUAAGCAUCGGCUAAUUCCGUGCCAGCAGCCGCGGUAAUACGGAAGAUGCGAGCGUUAUCCGGAUUUAUUGGGUUUAAAGGGAGCGUAGGCGGGCUUUUAAGUCAGCGGUCAAAUGCCACGGCUCAACCGUGGCCAGCCGUUGAAACUGCAAGCCUUGAGUCUGCACAGGGCACAUGGAAUUCGUGGUGUAGCGGUGAAAUGCUUAGAUAUCACGAAGAACUCCGAUCGCGAAGGCAUUGUGCCGGGGCAGCACUGACGCUGAGGCUCGAAAGUGCGGGUAUCAAACAGGAUUAGAUACCCUGGUAGUCCGCACGGUAAACGAUGAAUGCUCGCUAUGGGCGAUACAAUGUCCGUGGCCAAGCGAAAGCGUUAAGCAUUCCACCUGGGGAGUACGCCGGCAACGGUGAAACUCAAAGGAAUUGACGGGGGCCCGCACAAGCGGAGGAACAUGUGGUUUAAUUCGAUGAUACGCGAGGAACCUUACCCGGGCUUGAAUUGCAGGUGCAUGAGUCAGAGACGGCUCUUUCCUUCGGGACUCCUGUGAAGGUGCUGCAUGGUUGUCGUCAGCUCGUGCCGUGAGGUGUCGGCUUAAGUGCCAUAACGAGCGCAACCCUUCUCCCCAGUUGCCAUCGGGUAAUGCCGGGCCCUCUGGGGACACUGCCAUCGUAAGAUGCGAGGAAGGUGGGGAUGACGUCAAAUCAGCACGGCCCUUACGUCCGGGGCUACACACGUGUUACAAUGGGGGGUACAGAGGGCCGCUGUCCGGUGACGGUCGGCCAAUCCCUAAAACCCCUCUCAGUUCGGACUGGAGUCUGCAACCCGACUCCACGAAGCUGGAUUCGCUAGUAAUCGCGCAUCAGCCAUGGCGCGGUGAAUACGUUCCC